GUUGGCUACGGCGAUAUGCGGCCCGUGACGGUCUGGGGCAAGCUGGUGGGGUCCCUGUGCGCCAUAGCCGGUGUGCUGACCAUAGCCCUGCCCGUGCCAGUGAUUGUGUCCAAC
Molecule: non-coding RNA, 114 nt
Organism: Macrostomum lignano
Lineage: Eukaryota; Metazoa; Platyhelminthes; Macrostomidae
Source: Rfam